GAAAUUUGAGCUCAUACCGGAUAAUGUCUUCGGACCAAAGAUUUAUCGCCUUUGGAUGAGCCCGCGUAAGAUUAUCUCGUUGGGAGGGUAAAGGCCUACCAAGGCGACGAUCUUUAGAUGGUCUGAGAGGAUGAUCAGCCACACUGGGACUGAGACACGGCCCAGACUCCUACGGGAGGCAGCAGUGGGGAAUAUUGGACAAUGGGCGCAAGCCUGAUCCAGCAAUGCCGCGUGAGUGAUGAAGGCCUUCGGGUCGUAAAGCUCUUUUACCAGGGAUGAUAAUGACAGUACCUGGAGAAUAAGCUCCGGCUAACUCCGUGCCAGCAGCCGCGGUAAUACGGAGGGAGCUAGCGUUGUUCGGAAUUACUGGGCGUAAAGCGCGCGUACGCGGCUUGCCAAGUCAGGGGUGAAAUCCCGGGGCUCACCCCGGAACUGCCCUUGAAACUAGCAGGCUGAAUCUUGGAAGGUCAGUGGAUUCCGAGUGUAGAGGUGAAUUCGUAGAUAUUCGGAAGAACACCAGUGGCGAAGGCGACUGACUGGAAAGUGUUGACGCUGAGGGCGAAAGCGUGAGGAGCAACAGGAUUAGAUACCCUGGUAGUCCACGCCGUAAACGAUG
RNAcentral lists this ribosomal RNA (616 nucleotides) under uncultured bacterium. RNAcentral's name for it is "bacterial SSU rRNA". It matches the Rfam family "Bacterial small subunit ribosomal RNA", at positions 153 to 811 of the family's 1533-position model. The record is from RNAcentral.